Molecule: ribosomal RNA, 768 nt
Filed under: uncultured bacterium
Lineage: Bacteria
Description: bacterial SSU rRNA
Rfam family: Bacterial small subunit ribosomal RNA
Source: RNAcentral
GAGUUUGAUCAUGGCUCAGAUUGAACGCUGGCGGCAUGCCUUACACAUGCAAGUCGAACGGCAGCACGGGGGCAACCCUGGUGGCGAGUGGCGAACGGGUGAGUAAUGCAUCGGAACGUGCCCAGUAGUGGGGGAUAACUAGUCGAAAGAUUAGCUAAUACCGCAUACGACCUAAGGGUGAAAGCGGGGGAUUCGCAAGAACCUCGCGCUAUCGGAGCGGCCGAUGUCUGAUUAGCUAGUUGGCGGGGUAAAAGCCCACCAAGGCAACGAUCAGUAGCUGGUCUGAGAGGACGACCAGCCACACUGGGACUGAGACACGGCCCAGACUCCUACGGGAGGCAGCAGUGGGGAAUUUUGGACAAUGGGCGCAAGCCUGAUCCAGCCAUGCCGCGUGCGGGAAGAAGGCCUUCGGGUUGUAAACCGCUCUUGGCAGGAACGAAACGGCGCGAGCGAAUAUCUCGCGUUAAUGACGGUACCUGCAGAAUAAGCACCGGCUAACUACGUGCCAGCAGCCGCGGUAAUACGUAGGGUGCAAGCGUUAAUCGGAAUUACUGGGCGUAAAGCGUACGCAGGCGGCUUUGCAAGACAGGUGUGAAAUCCCCGGGCCUAACCUGGGAACUGCAUUUGUGACUGCAUGGCUAGAGUUUGUCAGAGGGGGGUGGAAUUCCACGUGUAGCAGUGAAAUGCGUAGAUAUGUGGAGGAACACCGAUGGCGAAGGCAGCCCCCUGGGAUGUGACUGACGCUCAUGUACGAAAGCGUGGGGAGCA